Molecule: ribosomal RNA, 496 nt
Filed under: uncultured bacterium
Lineage: Bacteria
Description: partial 16S ribosomal RNA
Rfam family: Bacterial small subunit ribosomal RNA
Source: RNAcentral
GAUGAACGCUGGCGGCGUGCCUAAUACAUGCAAGUCGAGCGAACGGACGAGAAGCUUGCUUCUCUGAUGUUAGCGGCGGACGGGUGAGUAACACGUGGAUAACCUACCUAUAAGACUGGGAUAACUUCGGGAAACCGGAGCUAAUACCGGAUAAUAUUUUGAACCGCAUGGUUCAAAAGUGAAAGACGGUCUUGCUGUCACUUAUAGAUGGAUCCGCGCUGCAUUAGCUAGUUGGUAAGGUAACGGCUUACCAAGGCAACGAUGCAUAGCCGACCUGAGAGGGGGAUCGGCCACACGGGAACUGAGAAACGGUCCAGACUCCUAAGGGAGGCAGGAGUAGGGAAUCUUCCGCAAUGGGCGAAAGCCUGACGGAGAAACGCCGCGGGAGUGAGGAAGGUCUGCGGAUCGUAAAACUCUGUUAUUAGGGAAGAACAUAUGUGUAAGUAACUGUGCCCCUCUUGACGGUACCUAAACAGAAAGCCCCGGCUAACUACGU